RNAcentral lists this ribosomal RNA (497 nucleotides) under uncultured bacterium. RNAcentral's name for it is "partial 16S ribosomal RNA". It matches the Rfam family "Bacterial small subunit ribosomal RNA", at positions 28 to 507 of the family's 1533-position model. The record is from RNAcentral.
GAUGAACGCUGGCGGCGUGCCUAAAACAUGCAAGUCGAGCGAACGGACGAGAAGCUUGCUUCUCUGAUGUUAGCGGCGGACGGGUGAGUAACACGUGGAUAACCUACCUAUAAGACUGGGAUAACUUCGGGAAACCGGAGCUAAUACCGGAUAAUAUUAUGAACCGCAUGGUUCAAAAGUGAAAGACGGUCUUGCUGUCACUUAUAGAUGGAUCCGCGCUGCAUUAGCUAGUUGGUAAGGUAACGGCUUACCAAGGCAACGAUGCAUAGCCGACCUGAGAGGGUGAUCGGCCACACUGGAACUGAGACACGGUCCAGACUCCUACGGGAGGCAGCAGUAGGGAAUCUUCCGCAAUGGGCGAAAGCCUGACGGAGCAACGCCGCGUGAGUGAUGAAGGUCUUCGGAUCGUAAAACUCUGUUAUUAGGGAAGAACAUAUGUGUAAGUAACUGUGCACAUCUUGACGGUACCUAAUCAGAAAGCCACGGCUAACUACGUG